AUUGGACGCUGGCGGAAUGCUUUACACAUGCAAGUCGAACGGCAGCACGGGGCAACCUGGUGGCGAGUGGCGAACGGGUGAGUAAUAUAUCGGAACGUGCCCAAUCGUGGGGGAUAACGUAGCGAAAGUUACGCUAAUACCGCAUACGAUCUACGGAUGAAAGCGGGGGAUCGCAAGACCUCGCGCGAAUGGAGCGGCCGAUAUCAGAUUAGGUAGUUGGUGGGGUAAAGGCUCACCAAGCCAACGAUCUGUAGCUGGUCUGAGAGGACGACCAGCCACACUGGAACUGAGACACGGUCCAGACUCCUACGGGAGGCAGCAGUGGGGAAUUUUGGGACAAUGGGCGCAAGCCUGAUCCAGCCAUUCCGCGUGCAGGAUGAAGGCCUUCGGGUUG
This 394-nucleotide ribosomal RNA is filed under the name uncultured bacterium. RNAcentral's name for it is "bacterial SSU rRNA". It matches the Rfam family "Bacterial small subunit ribosomal RNA", at positions 30 to 425 of the family's 1533-position model. The record is from RNAcentral.